CCCACAUCAAAGUCUCCGCUCUUUUUCGCUUUCCUUCCUUCCUUUUUUUGAGUGUUCACACUGCCUUAGGGAAAAGGUAACACAUCAGCAAAAAGGAAACCCCUCCGACUCAACACUGCCGAAGAAUUCAACCCCCUCCCCCUCCUCUUCUUCCCUUUCCACACGCACGCACCCAGGCAUACACACACACACACACACACACACACAGAGUCAUUCACACUUGACACCUCACUAAGCUUUCCUGUUCUCCGUGCCCGUCUUUUACUUCCUGUGGUGCGGCUACCUCCCCCCUACCCCUCUCUCCGCCAAAGGAAGCCAGCAGCAAAGGCUACUGGACCACGACCGGCUCACUUACCGCCGCUGCCCACCUGUACCUUUUCUGUUUUCUCUGUCACCGUGGCACACGCCUACCCGCAUCAUCUUGUCUUCUCUUUCUGUUGUAUUCACGCCAGCGAGGUUAGUCGACGUACACAACACUGUUCUCCCUUCCGCCCGUCCCCUCUCUCGUCAUAAAUCUUCGUUUCUCUCUCUGACGGUCAGCCUCUGUUGUAGAGACUCCGUUUACGUGAAGGCAAGUUUGGGAUCGCCGCGCACCGUUCUCGUUCAAAAACGAGAAAAAAAAUACUAGUCUCUCCUUUGUUUCUUCACAUAUCAACAACUUGUUGACACUUCUGACGCACAAACCUGAACACGCCCCCCCCUUUGGAAGAGCCGUGAAGAACUCACGAUGUCUCAACAGAAUGCUGUCGAGGCCCUGCUGGCGCGCCUGCAGAUGGGGGACACGAUUCCCGCCUUUCAGUCCAUGGGAGUGGACCGUAUCGUAUCUCUGCGCAAGAUGUCAGAGGAGGCCUUGCGCCAGGCCGUCCCGGACCCUGAGCAGCGCCAGGCACUGAUGGACGCUAUCGAAAGCCGUGGCCACCUGCAAUCGCGUCGCGCUGGCCCGCCGGCGGGCCAGCCGCACCCGCCUCGCAGUGCCGAUGCUGACUUUGCCCGCAGCGGCAACGACGAGGGCCGCGGUGGUUAUGCGCCGCGCGGUGACCGUGGUGGCCGCGUUGCCCGCGGUGGGCGCGGCGGUGGUCGUGGUGCCGGUGCGCCGAACGGCGACGACGCGGCUCGUGUGUGCCGCCACGUUUUCACGCCAGAGGGGUGCAAGUAUGGCGACAAGUGCCGCUAUAGCCACGACGAGAACGACCGCCGCCGAGCGCAGGAGGUACCGACGGGCAGCGGUAUGGCGCAGCGCUCUCUGGAGCGCCCGCCACCGAAUUUUAAGUUUUCGAUCGAGGUCGAGAUCCCGACAGAGCGCAUCAAGUACCUCCUGGGCUCUCAGGGCAACAAUAUGAAGUUCAUUAAUGAAACGUGCGGCACUUACAACGAGCGCUUCGACCACGUGGACGAGAAGGAGGAGACAUUCACGAUCCGCAUACUCGGCGGCAGCGAGGAGGCAGUCAACAAGGCUAAGGAUAUGCUGUUGCUGUCUGCCGGCGUUAAGCGCGAGGAGGAGAAGAAGGACCGCUUCCAGUACGCCGUGAACGAGCUGGACGCGAACACGCACGCCGCUCGCCUGUUCGCGGCCUGCAACACCAAGAACAAGGACACCACACGUCACUUGUCUGACUCCAUCAUGCGCAACAUCGUCUCCAGCUUCCACUUUGUUCGCCCGCAGGAGGUGCGUCACUUCUACAUGUACACUUCCAGUAGCGACAAGGACAAGCUCGAGAUGGUGAGCAAGAUUGUGUCCCAGCUAAAGGGCGUGCAGGCGAUUCUCUUCUGCGACCAGAAGCGUGUGGAGGAGAUGUGCAAGGGCUCACAGCGUAUCGCGCGCCACUUCAACGGUGUGGAACCGCAGUUUGUGUACCGCCAACUGUCCAAGGAGGAUCGCAUGAUGGCGCUGGAGAGGUUCAAGAAGGGUGUGGAGAACGAGAACGGCGUGCGCCAGCGUCUGCUGGUCACGAACGAGGAUUACGCCAAGCUGGCUCGCAAGACCAUCAUUCCGUACGUGAAUCUUGUCAUCAACUUCUCCGUGCCGCGUGCUGAGGAGUACUACGUCCUGCAGUCGCAGGUCGCAGGCCGUCAGGGCACUAUCGGUGCGUCAUUCCUAUGUGUUAGCAACUACGAAGAGGCCCUUUUCCGCGAGUUGGAGAAGAAUAUCCAGUUUGAGCGCUUCGAGGACGAGGAACACUUCCGCACGACGGCGGUGGAACUGUCGUACGACACGGCUGCGCAGCCUUUGACGCCGGAGGACGCUGAUCCGCCGGCGGACUGGCGCGAACACCUGAACGAUAAGAAGCCACGCCAGAACUUCGGUAAGCGUCGCUAGGCACGCGACAAGCACACACACACACACACACACACACACACACACACACGCACGCACGCACGCACGCACGAGAGCGAAAGGAAGGAGAAAGGAUCAGAGAAAAGAAGGGGACCAUCGCUGGCCUGGCAGCGACUUUCCUCGCACUGUCCUUUAUCAACACGCAUAUUACUCCUGCUCUUGCUGUGUGGCUCUUCGUAAUGAUGCGGUGCCUCUUCAGGUGACACUCGAAACGCGUAAAAGCAACGGCAUGACGGACAUUUUUGUUCUCCCUCGUCGUCAUUUUCUUUCGUUUCACCCCUCCCGUUGUUUCUUAUAUAUAAGGGAGCGUAUGCGUGUGAGUCUCUGUAUGUGCGUGCGUGCUUGUGUGUGUGUAUGGGGCUGCUCUGGUCGCGUUCUGAUUAGUGUGCGUCUUUUAUGUCGAAGCUGUCUCAGGGGUGCAGAGGGUGGCGUGCGACACGGGCGAGGGGAUGGGGGCGGCGUGGGAUGGAUGAGUGAGUGGGCUGGAAAAGAGGCGGCGUAUCGAAGAGGGUGAGAUGAAGAAGAGUGAACAUGCGGAGAGGGCAGCGAAAACAAAGAAUCAGCUGAACUCUGCGUGAUGGCGACGGUGCCUCCUUCAGUUUCUCCACCGUCUCUCCCCUUUUCUUCUGGUCUCAUUCCUCACCUCCCCGCUCUAUCUUUGUAGCGCAGCAAGCCUUUGUGAGGCGUGACUCACAGGAUAGAGCUAGGUGCUGCUAACCCUCCCCCGCUCCACCACCACCACCAUAAUCAUGUCUCUCUCCCAUCGCCCCUCGUCGCCUGCUCCUCCCUCCCCUCAGAUGCACACCCGCAUCCACACGCCAGGCCCCCGCCCGCCCUCCAUCCCCUCCGUCUCCUUCCGUUUGUCUGUUCUUUCGUUCUGUUUCCUCGCUUGUCGUCUUGCUCUUCUUCUGCCUCUCACGUCUUUGGGUCUCCGGCGUCUCUGUCUUGUUUUUUCUCCUCCCCCUCUCCUUUUCUUGUUUCACGUGGUAUGUGUCCGUGACCAUGUUUCCUUUGUUUUCUUGUCUGUCUGUCUGUUGGUUGGUCGGUGUGUGUGCGUGUGGGUGGGUGUUUGUUUUUAAACGGCGUGCCCACCUCUCUCUCUGUUUUUGUGCUGUUUUGCGUCUCUGUGUUUUUCUGCAAUGCGGUACGUGGUGGGUGCCGAAAAGUAUACGAAGGCCAGACGAUGUGUUUCGGAUGGUGGCGAUGAGGUUUGUGAACGCACACAACUAAAAAAAAAAACACAUGCACACACAAGGCAAUGAGGCAAAGGCCGAAGGAAUGACUAAGGACCAAAGUUGGAUAUUGGUGGUGCUGAUGCGUGGGAUGCGCUGUCUUUUUUUUGUUGUUGUUUGUUUUUCUUCUGUCUUUUUAUGCCAAGGACGACAAGGUGCUCGCGAAUGGUGUGGUGUAGACGAGGGUGCGCUUACAUGUGCGCGUGUGUGCGUAGGUGGAGUAUUCUCUUAUACAGGAGUGCGUCUCGAUGUGUGGGUAAGUAUCUGGGUAGGUCUCCUCGUUGUAGUGAGAGGGUAGGUGAGGGAUGAGACAUUCAAAAGCGGAGGUGAUGGGGGUGGAUGUGGGGGUUAAUGCAGGGAGGAGUGACCCACCCACAACAGUGAAGCACCAACGGAGAGCACAGGCUAGGAAGGCGGCGAGAGCUAAGGAGCGAGGCUUGCCGUAGAGGGGCAGCUCAAUAUUCCUCCAUCACCAUUUCACCACCACAUCGCCGCCCAGGAGGGGUGACUAUGCCGGCAGCAGAACAGCAGCACAUGUACCAUUCGUCGCAAUCACGAUACAUAUGUGCAUCUGUGAGAACGACGUGGCUGCCGCCGGUGUUGGUGCUCGUCUCAUUCUCUGCUUGUGCAUCGAUGUGGUUUUGAACUCCCUCUUUUCCCCUCCCCGCAUGCCUCUCUUCUUGCUCUUUUUCUGCCAUCUACCAUUUGUGUGUGCGUGUGCGUAAUCGCUUCACAUUGUCGGAUGGCUCUGUUCUCCUCUUUUUGUGGUGGUUCAUCGUCGUCUCGAUCUUUUUAG
RNAcentral lists this unclassified non-coding RNA (4363 nucleotides) under Leishmania donovani. RNAcentral's name for it is "gene:LdHU3.27.1890(CDS-product:KH_domain_containi ng_protein_putative)". The record is from RNAcentral. Lineage: Eukaryota; Euglenozoa; Kinetoplastea; Trypanosomatida; Trypanosomatidae.